AGGGAAAGCUGGCGGCAUGCCUUACACAUGCGAGUCGAACGGUAACAGGUCUUCGGACGCUGACGAGUGGCGAACAGGUGAGUAAUGCAUCGGAACGUGCCCAGUCGUGGGGGAUAACUGCUCGAAAGAGCAGCUAAUACCGCAUACGACCUGAGGGUGAAAGCGGGGGACCGUAAGGCCUCGCGCGAUUGGAGCGGCCGAUGUCAGAUUAGCUAGUUGGUGGGGUAAAGGCCUACCAAGGCAACGAUCUGUAGUUGGUCUGAGAGGACGACCAGCCACACUGGGACUGAGACACGGCCCAGACUCCUACGGGAGGCAGCAGUGGGGAAUUUUGGACAAUGGGCGCAAGCCUGAUCCAGCAAUGCCGCGUGCAGGAAGAAGGCCUUCGGGUUGUAAACUGCUUUUGUCAGGGAAGAAAUCUUCUGGGCUAAUACCCCGGGAGGAUGACGGUACCUGAAGAAUAAGCACCGGCUAACUACGUG
Molecule: ribosomal RNA, 482 nt
Filed under: uncultured bacterium
Lineage: Bacteria
Description: partial 16S ribosomal RNA
Rfam family: Bacterial small subunit ribosomal RNA
Source: RNAcentral